Molecule: non-coding RNA, 340 nt
Organism: Clostridium sp. CAG:7
Lineage: Bacteria; Bacillati; Bacillota; Clostridia; Eubacteriales; Clostridiaceae
Rfam family: transfer-messenger RNA
About the family: Bacterial tmRNA, also known as 10Sa RNA or SsrA, is named for its dual tRNA and mRNA-like properties. Its role is to liberate the mRNA from a stalled ribosome.
Source: Rfam
GGGGUUGUACUGGUUUCGACGGGGGUCAUGCAGCUGGUGAAGCUAUCCCCAUGCGAUGGGUUAAAUGGCAAAAUUAAAAAUAAACGCUAACGACGAAUUAGCAUACGCUGCCUAAUGGCAGCUGUCAGACUUAAGGCACCUACACUUUAAGACCCUGGCAUCGACUAUGUAGGAAACGACACAUGCAAAGCUUUGCGCAUGCGGGCGUAUUAUGAAGCUACUAAAACCGUCAGAGUGUUUCUUCCCGGACGGUAGAGGGAAUGUCAAAUAAGGAACUAUGAUAGUAGAAGAACAGGGAAUUGAUUUUCGGACAGGGGUUCGAUUCCCCUCAGCUCCACGC